RNAcentral lists this long non-coding RNA (290 nucleotides) under Zonotrichia albicollis (white-throated sparrow). RNAcentral describes it as "lncRNA (ENSZALG00000001247.1)". The record is from RNAcentral. Lineage: Eukaryota; Metazoa; Chordata; Aves; Passeriformes; Passerellidae.
AUGUGGAAAGAGGAAGAGGACCUGGAAGAGCACAUGGAAGUGGAUGAUGUCAAGGGAAGAGAACAGUUAUGUCACUUGUGCAGAAGAGCCUUCAAAAGAAAAAAAAUCUUCACAAAAACUGCCAGAAAUACCCACAAUUUCAUUCUUAUCAUUCUGAUCAUUGAGGUCAUCCCUCCUCCUGUUUGGAAACAGCUGCAGUGGUUGCACAGGGAUGCUGGAAUCCAAGGAAUUCUAGCAUCAAUUCCAAUGCCAACAUUGACUUCUCCCAAUUUAAUGAAAAAGGUGUGGAG